AUUGAACGCUGGCGGAAUGCUUUACACAUGCAAGUCGAACGGCAGCACGGACUUCGGUCUGGUGGCGAGUGGCGAACGGGUGAGUAAUGUAUCGGAACGUGCCCAGUCGUGGGGGAUAACGUAGUGAAAAUUACGCUAAUACCGCAUACGAUCUAUGGAUGAAAGCGGGGGAUCGCAAGACCUCGCGCGAUUGGAGCGGCCGAUAUCAGAUUAGGUAGUUGGUGGGGUAAAGGCCCACAAAGCCAACGAUCUGUAGCUGGUCUGAGAGGACGGCCAGCGACACUGGAACUGAGACACGGUCCAGACUGCUACGGGAGGCAGCGGGGGGGAAUGUUGGACAAUGGGCGAAAGCCUGAUCCAGCCAUUCCGCGUGCAGGAUGAAGGCCCUCGGGUUGUAAACUGCUUUUGUACAGAACGAAAAGGUUUCUACUAAUACUAGGAGCUCAUGACGGUACUGUAAGAAUAAGCGCCGGCUAACUACGUGCCAGCCGCCGCCGUAA
This 500-nucleotide ribosomal RNA is filed under the name uncultured bacterium. RNAcentral's name for it is "partial 16S ribosomal RNA". It matches the Rfam family "Bacterial small subunit ribosomal RNA", at positions 30 to 523 of the family's 1533-position model. The record is from RNAcentral.